GGUGGUUCUCGGGUGAUGUACCCCGGAAUCCAGCUCCCUCCUCUCUGGUUCCAGGUGCAUCACCCAAAAACCACA
Non-coding RNA from Myotis brandtii (Brandt's bat), 75 nucleotides. The record is from Rfam. NCBI's taxonomy places the organism in Eukaryota, Metazoa, Chordata, Mammalia, Chiroptera, Vespertilionidae.